RNAcentral lists this ribosomal RNA (795 nucleotides) under uncultured Shigella sp. RNAcentral's name for it is "bacterial SSU rRNA". It matches the Rfam family "Bacterial small subunit ribosomal RNA", at positions 687 to 1497 of the family's 1533-position model. Lineage: Bacteria; Pseudomonadati; Pseudomonadota; Gammaproteobacteria; Enterobacterales; Enterobacteriaceae. The record is from RNAcentral.
AGCGUAAUGGUAAAUUGAGAAUCCGUGCAAGCGGCCCCUGACAAGACUACGUCAGUUCGAAGCUGGGAGCAAACAGGAUUAGAUACCUGGUAGUCCACGCCGUAAACGAUGUCGACUUGGAGGUUGUGCCCUGAGGCGUGGCUUCCGGAGCUAACGCGUUAAGUCGACCGCCUGGGGAGUACGGCCGCAAGGUUAAAACUCAAAUGAAUUGACGGGGGCCCGCACAAGCGGUGGAGCAUGUGGUUUAAUUCGAUGCAACGCGAAGAACCUUACCUGGUCUUGACAUCCACGGAAGUUUUCAGAGAUGAGAAUGUGCCUUCGGGAACCGUGAGACAGGUGCUGCAUGGCUGUCGUCAGCUCGUGUUGUGAAAUGUUGGGUUAAGUCCCGCAGCGAGCGCAACCCUUAUCCUUUGUUGCCAGCGGUCCGGCCGGGAACUCAAAGGAGACUGCCAGUGAUAAACUGGAGGAAGGUGGGGAUGACGUCAAGUCAUCAUGGCCCUUACGACCAGGGCUACACACGUGCUACAAUGGCGCAUACAAAGAGAAGCGACCUCGCGAGAGCAAGCGGACCUCAUAAAGUGCGUCGUAGUCCGGAUUGGAGUCUGCAACUCGACUCCAUGAAGUCGGAAUCGCUAGUAAUCGUGGAUCAGAAUGCCACGGUGAAUACGUCCCCGGGCCUUGUACACACCGCCCGUCACACCAUGGGAGUGGGUUGCAAAAGAAGUAGGUAGCUUAACCUUCGGGAGGGCGCUUACCACUUUGUGAUUCAUGACUGGGGUGAAGUCGUAACAAGGU